AGUGAACGCUGGCGGUAGGCCUAACACAUGCAAGUCGAACGGCAGCACAGUAAGAGCUUGCUCUUACGGGUGGCGAGUGGCGGACGGGUGAGGAAUACAUCGGAAUCUACUUUUUCGGGGGGGAUAACGUAGGGAAACUUACGCUAAUACCGCAUACGACCUACGGGUGAAAGCAGUGGAUCUUCGGACCUUGCGCGAUUGAAUUAGCCGAUGUCGGAUUAGCUAGUUGGCGGGGUAAAGGCCCACCAAGGCGACGAUCCGUAGCUGAUCUGAGAGGAUGAUCAGCCACACUGGAACUGAGACACGGUCCAGACUCCUACGGGAGGCGGCAGUGGGGAAUAUUGCACAAUGGGCGAAAGCCUGACCCAGCAAUACCGCGUGGGUGAAGAAGGCCUUCGGGUUGUAAAGCCCUGUUGUUGGGAAAGAAAAGCAGCAGGUUAAUACCCCGCUGUUCUGACGGUACCCAAAGAAUAAGCACCGGCUAACUUCGUG
RNAcentral lists this ribosomal RNA (492 nucleotides) under uncultured bacterium. Its description in RNAcentral is "partial 16S ribosomal RNA". It matches the Rfam family "Bacterial small subunit ribosomal RNA", at positions 29 to 507 of the family's 1533-position model. The record is from RNAcentral.